This is a non-coding RNA of Dipodomys ordii (Ord's kangaroo rat), 63 nucleotides long. The record is from Rfam. Lineage: Eukaryota; Metazoa; Chordata; Mammalia; Rodentia; Heteromyidae.
GGGAAUGUGGCUUAGUGGUAGAGUGUUUGCCUAGCAUGCAUAAAGCCCUCAGUUCCAUUCCUC